Molecule: ribosomal RNA, 393 nt
Filed under: uncultured eukaryote
Lineage: Eukaryota
Description: partial 18S ribosomal RNA
Rfam family: Eukaryotic small subunit ribosomal RNA
Source: RNAcentral
CAAUAGCGUAUAUUAAAGUUGUUGCAGUUAAAAAGCUCGUAGUUGGAUUUCUGUUUUGGAUGUCCGGUCCGCUCCCUCUGGGAGUGCGUACUUAUGGAUGUUCGAGGCAUUUUUUGUGAGGUCGCUUUUCUGCCAUUAAGUUGGUGGUUUUGCGGGCUUGCAUCGUUUACUGUGAAAAAAUUAGAGUGUUUAAAGCAGGCGUUUGCUCAUUUGAAUACAUUAGCGUGGAAUAAUAAGAUACGGCCUUGGUGGUCUAUUUUGUUGGUUUGCACACCAGGGUAAUGAUUAAUAGGGACAGUUGGGGGUAUUCAUAUUUCAGCGUCAGAGGUGAAAUUCUUGGAUCGCUGAAAGAUGAGCUUAGGCGAAAGCAUUUACCAAGGAUGUUUUCAUUAA